RNAcentral lists this ribosomal RNA (188 nucleotides) under Streptococcus infantis. RNAcentral's name for it is "partial 23S ribosomal RNA". It matches the Rfam family "Bacterial large subunit ribosomal RNA", at positions 1 to 186 of the family's 2925-position model. The record is from RNAcentral. Lineage: Bacteria; Bacillati; Bacillota; Bacilli; Lactobacillales; Streptococcaceae.
CGCGCCGGGCCGUACCCAUAUCGGUGGAUGCCUUGGCACUAGGAGCCGAUGAAGGACGGGACGAACACCGAUAUGCUUCGGGGAGCUGUAAGCAAGCUUUGAUCCGGAGAUUUCCGAAUGGGGAAACCCACCACUCGUAAUGGAGUGGUAUCCAUAUCUGAAUUCAUAGGAUAUGAGAAGGCAGACCC